RNAcentral lists this transfer RNA (67 nucleotides) under Marmota monax (woodchuck). RNAcentral describes it as "tRNA.Ala". It matches the Rfam family "tRNA", at positions 6 to 65 of the family's 71-position model. Rfam says of the family: Transfer RNA (tRNA) molecules are approximately 80 nucleotides in length. Their secondary structure includes four short double-helical elements and three loops (D, anti-codon, and T loops). The record is from RNAcentral. Lineage: Eukaryota; Metazoa; Chordata; Mammalia; Rodentia; Sciuridae.
GGUUGUGGCUAAGUGGUAGAGCACUUGCCUAGCAUGUGUGAGGCUCUGGGUUCAAGUCUCAGCACUG